GAUGAACGCUGGCGGCGUGCCUAAUACAUGCGAGUCGAGCGAACAGACGAGGAGCUUGCUCCUCUGACGUUAGCGGCGGACGGGUGAGUAACACGUGGAUAACCUACCUAUAAGACGGGGAUAACUUCGGGAAACCGGAGCUAAUACCGGAUAAUAUAUUGAACCGCAUGGUGCAAUAGUGAAAGACGGUUUUGCUGUCACUUAUAGAUGGAUCCGCGCCGCAUUAGCUAGUUGGUAAGGUAACGGCUUACCAAGGCGACGAUGCGUAGCCGACCUGAGAGGGUGAUCGGCCACACUGGAACUGAGACACGGUCCCGACUCCUACGGGAGGCCGCAGUAGGGAAUCUUCCGCAAUGGGCGAAAGCCUGACGGAGCAACGCCGCGUGAGUGAUGAAGGUCUUCGGAUCGUAAAACUCUGUUAUUAGGGAAGAACAAAUGUGUAAGUAACUAUGCACGUCUUGACGGUACCUAAUCAGAAAGCCCCGGCUAACUACGUG
This 497-nucleotide ribosomal RNA is filed under the name uncultured bacterium. RNAcentral describes it as "partial 16S ribosomal RNA". It matches the Rfam family "Bacterial small subunit ribosomal RNA", at positions 28 to 507 of the family's 1533-position model. The record is from RNAcentral.